Long non-coding RNA from Pseudophryne corroboree (corroboree frog), 393 nucleotides. RefSeq lists it as uncharacterized. The transcript has 3 exons. NCBI's taxonomy places the organism in Eukaryota, Metazoa, Chordata, Amphibia, Anura, Myobatrachidae. The record is from RefSeq and is a predicted model, not a curated record.
CUGACAACUGACAGGAAGGAUGAGGCAGGAAGAGGUACAGCAAGAGAGAGACAAGUAACACAUUUCAAGAUAUAACACCCAAUGAUGUAUCCCUCACCUCAAAAAUCAUCUGUUGUCCAACCAUCUUUCACUACACAUGAGUACACCAUCAACACUGCCAGAGAUGAGCAGUUUGGAUUCUCUGGAAUGUGAACCACUCCAAACUUAUGGAAUCCAAGUCUACCUGAGCCACGGAUCGAGUGUUCUCUCAAGACUCGAAUUCCAAAUUAAGGCCGAACGUUAUAUGUAUUCCAUAUAAGGAGCCAGGGACAGGCAUCGGCGCCAUUUCACUCCAGUCACGCUGCUAUAUGUUGUUCUCUGUGGUGUCCAUUAAAGUGGCUGUACAGAAUACAA